This is a long non-coding RNA of Ochotona princeps (American pika), 403 nucleotides long. RefSeq lists it as uncharacterized. The transcript is spliced from 4 exons. The record is from RefSeq and is a predicted model, not a curated record. NCBI's taxonomy places the organism in Eukaryota, Metazoa, Chordata, Mammalia, Lagomorpha, Ochotonidae.
CAGAUUCAGCCACUGUUGGAAAUCUGUGACAGCCUGAAGGGGCAAAGCAAUACUUCCUUGUACCAGUUCUUCAGGGAAUUGUGAGAAAAGUCAACAUUUGCAAAUGAGCUGGCUGUCAUGACCCUGUGUGCUUCUGGGCAUGCUGUCUACUGCACAGUCAUCAGCAACUGAGGAGGUCCAGUUCCAACACAUACAUUCCAAGGAGAUUCCUCUUGUUGCAGAACACAAGUAUAAGCAUGAAAGAAAAACUAACUAAGCAAGUAGAAAUGCAUUCUGUAAUAUUGUGCAAAGAACGGGGAGUUCAUCUCCACCAAGUUUUAUGGUGAAAAUUCUGUAAAGCAGUGGAAAUCUGAAAUCUGGCACACAACCCAGACUCAUCAUGCUUAGAUGCUCUAAAUAACAA